Molecule: long non-coding RNA, 2171 nt
Organism: Scleropages formosus (Asian bonytongue)
Lineage: Eukaryota; Metazoa; Chordata; Actinopteri; Osteoglossiformes; Osteoglossidae
Exons: 5
Source: RefSeq, a predicted model, not a curated record
CACACACACACACACACACACACACACACACACACACACACACAUUUGCCGACUCCCUCCCUCUCUACCUCACGCUAUGCUCUCGCAGAAACCACACCAGUCUUAGACUUUUUCCUUUUACCCUCCCCGUGUUUGUGUUUUUGCUAGCGGAUAGAGAAACUGGCCCCACGCUGCUCCGCAUGGCUCACUUCAACCCAGCCUCCAGAAAAGGCCACCACUGCCCGCCUGUUUCUAGGCGCUGCCUGCCGGCCUUGCUACCCAUGCCAUUUUUUUUGUUUUGUUUCUCUACAUUUUAUUUCCUCUUUUUAGUUUUUUUCUUUUCCUGGCCUACCCCCUUCUCCUGCGUCUUAAUAAAGAGGAAGAAAAGGCAAGUGAGCAGUGUCCAUGAGGAAAAAAGAAGGGAGUGAGGAGGCAGAAAAGAGAGAGAAAAUGAAGAACAGGAUCUGAGUGAGGACUGGCACUGUGCAGCGAGACAAGCAAAGAGGGAGAGCGAGGGAGCGAGAAAGGACGGACAUGAGAGGACAGAGAGCGAAGUGGCUGUGGUGGUGGAGGGGGGAGUCCUCCAGCCUGUCGAAAAGGAAGCCACACAGAAACGGGCAAGGAGAGAGAAGGGGAGCGCUCAGCACAGUAUGAUUUUUGCUUCUUCUUCAACAUGGAAAAAUGAACACCAGGAAGACUGGGGCAAAAGGUUUUUUUUUUCAUUUUUGAGUUGUCACAAUCAUCUGAUGCACGAUGAUUUUGAGCAUGUUUGAUUCUGCCAAGACAUGGCCUCAGCAGCAGGGUGAAAGAGGUGGCAUUCCAAAGUGGUGGCUGUUGGACAAUUUAGCAGCAUUUCAUAACAAUUUCCCAAAAUGGAAUCAUAAGAUGAUCUUCAAAUGCCAACGUUCCCCAUCAAAACCUGUCGCACCGACCCAUGCCGUUUUCUUCAUGUUCCGUAAUCCAUUCUCUUUGAAACAUGGGAACAUUGUGCAUGACAUGGUGCACCACAGAAAAGAUGGCAAUCCACUGUGUGGCUUCUUUUUUUUUUAAUGGGACUGAAGCGACAUUAAAGUUGUCUAUUUUAAAAUGACUGAAAAAAUGCCAUUCAGAGUGUUAUAUUCUGCUUUCUAUGGCUCACAGCGACCCUGCUCAAGACAAGAGGUUGUGGACAAGGGAAUGGAAUGGAAGGGAAUGUGCAAGACAGGUCAUGUUUCUCCUGUGCAUCAAGCAGCACUGCAGUGUAAUAGAAGAAAAAAUAAAAAGAAGAGAAAAACCUGCUGGUUGAGAGCAAAUGCAGAAGGCAGCUUAGGAGGCACACGUCUUCUUCAUCUGGAAGUUAAAUGGAGACCAGACAGUCAAAUCAGAUGAGCCUGAAGAAGUUCAAGCCAGGAAGACAAACACACCAGCCAAGCAAAACAAUUCUUCCUGGCUACAUGAACCCUGGAAUCUGAGGAUGGUAGACAACUAGGAUACCAGGAACAUGACUAAUGACUGGACUACUGCCCUGGUGCCCAAGUGGCACCCUGAAAUGUUUGGGCUACUACUUUCAACCCAGGAGGGAGAAAGCACUAUAGCCUCCUACCAGCUCUGAUUUUGCUGUCACUUGGGACCUGGAUGGACCUAAACUGAGGGAAGGAUGAGUGAAUGGUUGGUGGUGAUUCCCAGGCAAGCUGUGCAUUAGAUCAUGACAGCUCCCUACUACCUGCCCUUGCCAAAGGACAAUUAAUGUCAACCAGCGGUUACCAACUGAGGACUCAUAAACCCUCAUUUAAGGCAGCUGGUCUGAGGAUUUGACAGAAAUAGGCCAUGGUUUUGUAUUAUGCUAGCCUCUUUUCUGUUUGCUUUCUUCUCUGUUUCAUCUCAUCAUUAGUUAUGCUUUUGGUUUUGCCGUGUCCCCAUUUCAGUUUAGCUUCAUUUGUAAGUUAAGCCUUUUCCAUGGAGGAAACCUGAUGUCUCUGAGCUUCUGUCCCACCCAUGUGGCAAUCCCUACCCCAUACAAUGUCACAGUGUGUUAUGAUGCAAUAAGUCCAUGUAACUGCUGUAGGGCCCUCCAAAGCUGUAUCCAAAACAAAGGUGUCACAGCAGUUCCAGUAAAUGGGAUCCAGCCAGUGGGCUUGUGCCUUUUCCAGAAAUUUCCAGUGACCAUGUGGGCGAGAUUCAGACAGUGCUGCAACUUCCCACCCUUCCUUAAA